AAUCCAAGUGGAAACACAGGAGUGGCCUUCGGCGCCGUCGACCCAGCACGGUUAAGGUGGGCACUCUAAGGAGACUGCCGGUGACAAACCGGAGGAAGGUGGGGAUGACGUCAAGUCAUCAUCGGCCCUUACGGCCGUGGGCUACACACGUGCUAACAAUGGUCGGUAACGAAAGGGUUGCCAAGCCGCGAGGUGGAGCUAAUCCCAUAAACCGAUCGUAGUCCGGAUCGCAGUCUGCAACUCGACUGCGUGAAGUCGGAAUCG
Molecule: ribosomal RNA, 264 nt
Filed under: uncultured Pseudomonas sp.
Lineage: Bacteria; Pseudomonadati; Pseudomonadota; Gammaproteobacteria; Pseudomonadales; Pseudomonadaceae
Description: partial 16S ribosomal RNA
Rfam family: Bacterial small subunit ribosomal RNA
Source: RNAcentral